CCUACGGGAGGCAGCAGUGGGGAAUAUUGCACAAUGGGGGAAACCCUGAUGCAGCGACGCCGCGUGAGUGAAGAAGUGAUUCGUUGUGUAAAGCCCUAUCAGCAGGGAAGAAAAUGACGGUACCUGACUAAGAAGCCCCGGCUAACUACGUGCCAGCAGCCGCGGUAAUACGUAGGGGGCAAGCGUUAUCCGGAUUUACUGGGUGUAAAGGGAGCGUAGACGGCAGUGCAAGUCUGGAGUGAAAGGCGGGGGCCCAACCCCGGGACUGCUCUGGAAACUGUACGGCUGGAGUGCAGGAGAGGUAAGUGGAAUUCCUAGUGGAGCGGUGAAAUGCGUAGAUAUUAGGAGGAACACCAGUGGCGAAGGCGGCUUACUGGACUGUAACUGACGUUGAGGCUCGAAAGCGUGGGGAGCAAACAGGAUUAGAUACCCGGGUAGUC
This 440-nucleotide ribosomal RNA is filed under the name uncultured bacterium. RNAcentral describes it as "partial 16S ribosomal RNA". It matches the Rfam family "Bacterial small subunit ribosomal RNA", at positions 338 to 795 of the family's 1533-position model. The record is from RNAcentral.